This 497-nucleotide ribosomal RNA is filed under the name uncultured bacterium. RNAcentral describes it as "partial 16S ribosomal RNA". It matches the Rfam family "Bacterial small subunit ribosomal RNA", at positions 28 to 507 of the family's 1533-position model. The record is from RNAcentral.
GAUGAACGCUGGCGGCGUGCCUAAUACAUGCAAGUCGAGCGAACGGACGAGAAGCUUGCUUCUCUGAUGUUAGCGGCGGACGGGUGAGUAACACGUGGAUAACCUACCUAUAAGACUGGGAUAACUUCGGGAAACCGGAGCUAAUACCGGAUGAUAUUUUGAACCGCAUGGUUCAAAAGUGAAAGACGGUCUUGCUGUCACUUAUAGAUGGAUCCGCGCUGCAUUAGCUAGUUGGUAAGGUAACGGCUUACCAAGGCAACGAUGCAUAGCCGACCUGAGAGGGUGAUCGGCCACACUGGAACUGAGACACGGUACAGACUCCUACGGGAGGCAGCAGUAGGGAAUCUUCCGCGAUGGGCGAGAGCCUGACGGAGCAACGCCGCGUGAGGGAUGAAGGUCUUCGGAUCGGAAAACUCUGUUAUUAGGGAAGAACAUAUGUGUAAGUAACUGUGCACAUCUUGACGGUACCUAAUCAGAAAGCCACGGCUAACUACGUG